GAUGAACGCUAGCGAUAGGCUUAAUACAUGCAAGUCGAGGGGCAGCAUGGUCUUAGCUUGCUAAGACUGAUGGCGACCGGCGCACGGGUGCGUAACGCGUAUGCAACUUGCCUCACAGAGGGGGAUAACCCGUCGAAAGACGGACUAAUACCGCGUACACUUGGGAUAGGGCAUCCUGACCCAAGGAAAUGAAAUUCGCUGUGAGAUAGGCAUGCGUCCCAUUAGCUAGUUGGUGAGGUAACGGCUCACCAAGGCGACGAUGGGUAGGGGAACUGAGAGGUUGAACCCCCACACUGGUACGGAGACACGGACCAGACUCCUACGGGAGGCAGCAGUGAGGAAUAUUGGUCAAUGGGCGAGAGCCUGAACCAGCCAAGUCGCGUGAAGGAUGACUGUCUUAUGGAUUGUAAACUUCUUUUAUACGGGAAUAACAAGAGCCACGUGUGGCUCCCUGCAUGUACCGUAUGAAUAAGCAUCGGCUAACUCCGUG
RNAcentral lists this ribosomal RNA (490 nucleotides) under uncultured bacterium. Its description in RNAcentral is "partial 16S ribosomal RNA". It matches the Rfam family "Bacterial small subunit ribosomal RNA", at positions 28 to 507 of the family's 1533-position model. The record is from RNAcentral.